This 373-nucleotide ribosomal RNA is filed under the name uncultured bacterium. RNAcentral describes it as "bacterial SSU rRNA". It matches the Rfam family "Bacterial small subunit ribosomal RNA", at positions 364 to 759 of the family's 1533-position model. The record is from RNAcentral.
UUUGGCGUGGGCGAAGCCUGACCGCCUGCCGCGUGAGUGAUGAAGGCCCUAGGGUUGUAAAGCUCUUUUGUGCGGGAAGAUAAUGACGGUACCGCAAGAAUAAGCCCCGGCUAACUUCGUGCCAGCAGCCGCGGUAAUACGAAGGGGGCUAGCGUUGCUCGGAAUCACUGGGCGUAAAGGGUGCGUAGGCGGGUCUUUAAGUCAGAGGUGAAAUCCUGGAGCUCAACUCCAGAACUGCCUUUGAUACUGAGGAUCUUGGGUUCGGGAGAGGUGAGUGGAACUGCGAGUGUAGAGGUGAAAUUCGUAGAUAUUCGCAAGAACACGGGUGGCGAAGGCGGCUCACUGGCCCGAUACUGACGCUGAGGCACGAAAG